AAUGUACCAAUUUGUAAGUCGCCUCUGGAUAAGAGCGUCUGCUAAAUGACGUAAA
Molecule: non-coding RNA, 55 nt
Organism: Salmo salar (Atlantic salmon)
Lineage: Eukaryota; Metazoa; Chordata; Actinopteri; Salmoniformes; Salmonidae
Source: Rfam